RNAcentral lists this ribosomal RNA (638 nucleotides) under Escherichia coli. RNAcentral describes it as "partial 23S ribosomal RNA". It matches the Rfam family "Bacterial large subunit ribosomal RNA", at positions 999 to 1638 of the family's 2925-position model. Lineage: Bacteria; Pseudomonadati; Pseudomonadota; Gammaproteobacteria; Enterobacterales; Enterobacteriaceae. The record is from RNAcentral.
UAACGUCCGUCGUGAAGAGGGAAACAACCCAGACCGCCAGCUAAGGUCCCAAAGUCAUGGUUAAGUGGGAAACGAUGUGGGAAGGCCCAGACAGCCAGGAUGUUGGCUUAGAAGCAGCCAUCAUUUAAAGAAAGCGUAAUAGCUCACUGGUCGAGUCGGCCUGCGCGGAAGAUGUAACGGGGCUAAACCAUGCACCGAAGCUGCGGCAGCGACGCUUAUGCGUUGUUGGGUAGGGGAGCGUUCUGUAAGCCUGUGAAGGUGUGCUGUGAGGCAUGCUGGAGGUAUCAGAAGUGCGAAUGCUGACAUAAGUAACGAUAAAGCGGGUGAAAAGCCCGCUCGCCGGAAGACCAAGGGUUCCUGUCCAACGUUAAUCGGGGCAGGGUGAGUCGACCCCUAAGGCGAGGCCGAAAGGCGUAGUCGAUGGGAAACAGGUUAAUAUUCCUGUACUUGGUGUUACUGCGAAGGGGGGACGGAGAAGGCUAUGUUGGCCGGGCGACGGUUGUCCCGGUUUAAGCGUGUAGGCUGGUUUUCCAGGCAAAUCCGGAAAAUCAAGGCUGAGGCGUGAUGACGAGGCACUACGGUGCUGAAGCAACAAAUGCCCUGCUUCCAGGAAAAGCCUCUAAGCAUCAGGUAACAUC